Callithrix jacchus (white-tufted-ear marmoset) is the source of this 139-nucleotide small nuclear RNA. Its record names the gene U4. It matches the Rfam family "U4 spliceosomal RNA". From Rfam's summary of the family: U4 small nuclear RNA (U4 snRNA) is a component of the major U2-dependent spliceosome. The structure of U4 snRNA from yeast and human has been reported. NCBI's taxonomy places the organism in Eukaryota, Metazoa, Chordata, Mammalia, Primates, Cebidae. The record is from Ensembl.
AGCUUGGCACAGUGGCAGUAUCGUAGCCAAUGAGGUUUAUCCGUGGCGCCAUAAUUGCUAAUUGAAAACUUUUCCCAAUACCCCGCCUUCAUGACUUGCAAUGUAGUCGGCACUGGCAAUUUCUGAGUCUCUACGGAGG